This 358-nucleotide transfer-messenger RNA is filed under the name Caryophanales. RNAcentral's name for it is "Bacillus_BT aquiflavi Standard tmRNA". It matches the Rfam family "transfer-messenger RNA". From Rfam's summary of the family: Bacterial tmRNA, also known as 10Sa RNA or SsrA, is named for its dual tRNA and mRNA-like properties. Its role is to liberate the mRNA from a stalled ribosome. Lineage: Bacteria; Bacillati; Bacillota; Bacilli. RNAcentral also lists the same sequence under 1 other name. The record is from RNAcentral.
GGGGACGUUACGGAUUCGACAGGGAUAGAUCGAGCUUAAGUGGCGAGUCGAGGGGGUCGGCCUCGUAAAAACGCCAAAGCCAAUAACUGGCAAAGAAAACAACAAUUUCGCUUUAGCUGCCUAAGUCAGCUAGCGGUUCCUCCCUCCAUCGCCCAUGUGGUAGGGUAAGGGACUCAACGAUAGUGGGCUACGCUGGAUUCCGCCGUCUGAGGAUGAAAGAAGAGAACAAUCAGACUAGCUGCUCGGCCGCCUGUCGGCAGGCAAAAGAGUUAGUGAAAGCGUAAUAUGUCGACUAUACUCGUAGAAGCUUAAGUGGCGAUAUUUCUGGACGUGGGUUCAACUCCCACCGUCUCCAUAC